Caenorhabditis elegans is the source of this 21-nucleotide non-coding RNA. The record is from Ensembl. Lineage: Eukaryota; Metazoa; Nematoda; Chromadorea; Rhabditida; Rhabditidae.
UAGAUUGUUGAAAUAGUACUU